UACGUAGGGUGCAAGCGUUACUCGGAAUUACUGGGCGUAAAGCGUGCGCAGGCGGUUAAAUAAGUCAGAUGUGAAAUCCCCGGGCUCAACCUGGGAAUGGCAUUUGAGACUGUUUAGCUAGAGUGUAUCAGAGGGGGGUCGAAUUCCACGUGUAGCAGUGAAAUGCGUAGAGAUGUGGAGGAACACCGAUGGCGAAGGCAGCCCCCUGGGAAGACACUGACGCUCAGGCACGAAAGCGUGGGGAGCAAACAGG
This 253-nucleotide ribosomal RNA is filed under the name uncultured bacterium. RNAcentral describes it as "partial 16S ribosomal RNA". It matches the Rfam family "Bacterial small subunit ribosomal RNA", at positions 524 to 776 of the family's 1533-position model. The record is from RNAcentral.